RNAcentral lists this ribosomal RNA (391 nucleotides) under uncultured bacterium. RNAcentral's name for it is "bacterial SSU rRNA". It matches the Rfam family "Bacterial small subunit ribosomal RNA", at positions 505 to 898 of the family's 1533-position model. The record is from RNAcentral.
GUGUCAGCAGCCGCGGUAAUACGGAGGAUCCGAGCGUUAUCCGGAUUUAUUGGGUUUAAAGGGUGCGUAGGCGGGACUUUAAGUCAGGGGUGAAAUACAGCGGCUCAACCGUUGCAGUGCCUUUGAUACUGAAGUUCUUGAAUAGGUUCGAAGACGGCGGAACGGGACAAGUAGCGGUGAAAUGCAUAGAUAUGUCCCAGAACCCCAAUUGCGAAGGCAGCUGUCUAGGCCUUUAUUGACGCUGAUGCACGAAAGCGUGGGUAUCGAGCAGGAUUAGAUACCCUGGUAGUCCACGCCCUAAACGAUGAUGACUCGAUGUUUGCGAUAUACGGUGAGCGUCCAAGCGAAAGCGUUAAGUCAUCCACCUGGGGAGUACGAUCGCAAGAUUGAA